GUGAGGAGUUUUCCGCAAUGGGCGAAAGCCUGACGGAGCAAUGCCGCGUGAAGGAUGAAGGCCUAUGGGUUGUAAACUUCUUUUCUCAGAAAAGAAUUAUGACGGUAUCUGAGGAAUAAGCAUCGGCUAACUCUGUGCCAGCAGCCGCGGUAAGACAGAGGAUGCAAGCGUUAUCCGGAAUGAUUGGGCGUAAAGCGUCUGUAGGUUGUUUAAAAAGUAUUCUGUCAAAGAUUAGGGCUUAACCCUAGAUAGGCAGAAUAAACUUUUAAGCUAGAGUUUGGUAGAGGCAGAGGGAAUUCCCGGUGGAGCGGUGAAAUGCGUAGAUAUCGGGAGGAACACCAAAGGCGAAGGCACUCUGCUGGGCCAAUACUAACACUGAGAGACGAAAGCGAGGGGAGCAAAUGGGAUUAGAAACCCUAGUAGUCC
RNAcentral lists this ribosomal RNA (426 nucleotides) under uncultured bacterium. Its description in RNAcentral is "partial 16S ribosomal RNA". It matches the Rfam family "Bacterial small subunit ribosomal RNA", at positions 354 to 796 of the family's 1533-position model. The record is from RNAcentral.